RNAcentral lists this ribosomal RNA (253 nucleotides) under uncultured bacterium. RNAcentral describes it as "partial 16S ribosomal RNA". It matches the Rfam family "Bacterial small subunit ribosomal RNA", at positions 524 to 776 of the family's 1533-position model. The record is from RNAcentral.
AACGUAGGUACCGAGCGUUAUCCGGAUUUACUGGGCGUAAAGCGUGUUCAGGCGGUCAGGCAAGUCGGGCAUGAAAUCUCUCGGCUCAACCGGGAGAGGUUGUCCGAUACUGCCAGACUGGAGGGCAGUAGAGGGUGGUGGAAUUCCGGGUGUAGUGGUGAAAUGCGUAGAGAUCCGGAGGAACACCAGUGGCGAAAGCGGCCACCUGGACUGUACCUGACGCUCAAACACGAAAGCUAGGGGAGCGAACGGG